UGAACUGGGACACGUGGGCCCGUUUUCCUCAAACUCAUCCACCAUGGGAAGCCCCACAGUUGGGUGUCAGAAGUUGUCUCAAUGGGAGACAGCCGUUGAGCCAUUUCAGAAAGGAAGCAGCUCAACAGAAGGCACUGUACUCCUCCCCAGUUGCCCUCACAUCCUCCUGCCAGUACAAAUAUCUAAGAUGAAGGAACUUGGCCUGAUAGUGAUCUUGGGUUGGGAAGCUCUUUGGAAGAGCCCAGAAAGGAGAAACUUUAGAGGAAACCUUUUCUCUUUCUACUCUGAUUUCACAUUCGCUCUUGCAUAGCUGCCUGCGUGUGCCCCCAUGAUCUCAGAAAAACCACAGGGAUGAUAGGAAUGCUGCAGCCAGCUUCUAACCCUGGGGGCACCCCUCCACCGAUCACUCCAGCUAGUUCAGAGUCUAAACACAGGCAUGCUUCCUCAGCUGAGGGGAGGGAGGAGCCUUGUGCUUAGAAGAGGAAUCCGAGGACCAAGGCAGCUUAGGGAAGGGAAGGGGGUCUGUGGAAAGAUCCUGUGUUGGGAGCUGAAGAGAAUCAGUGGAUAGUACUCACAGUGCAGUCUUGUGUUCUUUCUCCAGACUCUAUAGCUGCAACCAGAGUCCAGGAUCUGUCAGACAUGGUGGAAAUACUGAUCUGAAGGAAGGAGGCCUUGGGGACCCUGAAGCCUGGCUCCCCCAUGGCAUUCCAGCAAUUGUCUUCAAAUGCUGCACCUCACUUCCUCCAACCAGCAAUGGUUUGGUGCAGGAGCUCAGAGAGGAGCACUCCAGGG
RNAcentral lists this long non-coding RNA (792 nucleotides) under Rattus norvegicus (Norway rat). RNAcentral's name for it is "long non-coding RNA NONRATT027985". The record is from RNAcentral. Lineage: Eukaryota; Metazoa; Chordata; Mammalia; Rodentia; Muridae.